Long non-coding RNA from Homo sapiens (human), 1059 nucleotides. Ensembl annotates it as long intergenic non-protein coding RNA 882. Lineage: Eukaryota; Metazoa; Chordata; Mammalia; Primates; Hominidae. The record is from Ensembl.
UGGAAAUACACAGAGAAACUGGCAGAAAAUGAAUCCAUGGAGAUUUUGACAAGACCCCUCUAAGCAAGAUCUAAAGACAACAUCAGAUGGAGUUGUCUGUGGAUUAUGUACGUAUUGUCAGAGACAUUCAUGCAAAAUAAUGGGUUUGGUGGUGACAGGGUUACAGCCACAACAAGAAAGUGAGAUACAGUUAGUGGAAUUCUCAAGUGCUCUCUUAGGAUGAAUAAACCUUAAGAAAGAACACCCUGCUUUUGUAACAGAUGAAGAAAGGCUAUGGAAGAGACAGAUUCUGGAGGAUGCAGCAUUCAAGGUUCUAUCUUGGAAGCAGAGACUGUGCCCUCACCAGAUGCUGAACCUGCUGAGCACCCUGAUCUUCCACUUCACCUUCAUCAGAACUACUGGGGCUGUGGCUGAGAUGUCACAUGGCAGAUAGGAUCACAAAUUUCUGUUGUAUCUGGAUGGAGAUCAGCAGGAGGAUCUAUGGGUGAGAAGAAGCACAGUUACAGAUGGAUUCUAGAGCCUGCUUGCUGACACAGGCUUGCAACUGCGGACUUUAUAAGCUUAGUUUUUAAUCUGCUAUCAGCUAGCAUAAUACCAUAAAUGCAUAAGAAACUAAGUAUUCAGUCUUACGAGAAAUGCUAUCUUGACCUGACCCUUUCUCCAAAUAAAUUGACAAAAUAUCUCAUCGUCUAGGAUGCCAGACAGAAAUACCAGUUGCAAUGUUUUGUUGCAUAAAGUUUAUCCUAAUUUAAAUUAGUGGCAUAUAAAGUCAUCAUCUUGCUUGAACAAACAUCUUAUUAAAUUGAGCAUGUCUUUUAUCCCAUGAAAUGAAAUUAAUUUUGAGAUAGUUAUUUUUCAGUUGGAAAUUUAUUGAGUUGAUAGAAAACAAGUUAUAUAGUCUUCCAAAGAAUAUGUUACAUCCAUUUGCAUUUUGUUUUUCUUCAGCAAUGUUUGGUUUUUAGAAAAUCUUACAAGUUAAAUAUACUAAUGUAGAAAUUGAAAGAAAAUAAUCAGAGAUAGAGCAAUAAAUUUGCAAAUAAAGAUUAUUCUUAAAACAAA